AGCCGGUUGGUGAAUGGCGGCGGCCGCCGUCGGAGCGCUGGCCGGCAGGGGUUGGGCGGAGAGGUCCGGGAAGGGCGCGGGAGGGAGACUGGGAGCUGGAGGGGAGGCCGGGAGCGGGAGGAGACGCUCAACCGCCUCACUAAAACCCCAGAGAGAUGAGGACAGCCUCGUCACCGGAGCAGGCCUGAAGCUGGCCUCGGCUCAGCACGCAGUGCCCGCGGGGCCGGCACCGAGCCGCAGUCCCGGCCCGGGCUCCUUUUGCUGAGAGUCAGACCACAGUUCGCUCUGCCUGCGGUUUUCCCGGGCACCGCGCCUCGAGACCCCCAUCGCGAGACAAUGGUUCUGCUGGCUCCGCGGCCCUGACCGCGGGUGAGCCGGAGCGGGCGCUCUCGAGCAGGACGGCGUGAUUCAGCGAGCAACCCACAGGAGACUGGAGAAUGCCUUGGAUGCACAUAAACGCUCCUGCUCCCCACAGGCUUCUUUGGUCGCGCCUUCACACGACGCAUGCGGGCAACUGCUGUUGGCUCGAGCGUGGCAUUUGGAAAUCGCACGCGUCCUUUGUACCUCUGCUCAUUUGACGUGUUGUCACGGAUCAUGAAAGACCUGAAUUGAUUUUGAUGAAUUUCCACUGGUUAAUUCCUCACUGAUGGACAUUGUGAAUAUCAAUGAUCAACGUCUCUUCUCUCCAGUGUUCUUGCCAAUGAGAAAGGGAACAGAGAAUAACAAGACAAAAGAACUCACAAGUAGUAUCAGUGACUCAGAAAUAAAUUAUUGAGUACAGAUUCAGGAAAUCAGUCCUGAAAUCAGUCCUGAAUAUUCAUUGGAAGGACUGAUGCUGAAACUCCAAUACUUUCGAGUUUUGAAGAACUGAUUCGAAGAACUGAUUCGAAGAACUGAUUAGAAGAACUGACUCAUUGUAAAAAACCUUGAUGCUGGAAAAGAUUAAAGGGAGGAGAAGGGGACGACAGAGGAUGAGAUGGUUGAAUGGCAUCACCGGCUCGAUCGACAUGAGUUUGAGUAAGCUCCAGGAGUUGCUGAUGAACAGUGAAGCCUGGCAUCCUACAGUCCAUGGUGUCACAGAGUCGGACAUGACUGCGCAGCUGAACUGACUGAAUUUGCACAGAGAAUUCUAGACUUGACUUCCCCAUUGGCGCCAUCCUCCCUUUGGUGCACUGUAAGGCAGAGAGGAGUUAUGGUCUGAGAAAAAACUUUACAUGGCACCUAAAGCAAAUUCUUUAUAAUAAUUUUUAGUUGUUCUAUUAGUGUGAUUAAGAUUUUAGAUUUGCCAAAAUGUGUACUUGAAGAUGGGGUUAACUUUUUAAAAAUUUAAGGAAAGUUUUCCUUUGUCUUAACCUAUUUUACCGAAGGAUGUUAAUUAGUAUUAAAGUUUGAAAAGAA
Molecule: long non-coding RNA, 1398 nt
Organism: Dama dama (fallow deer)
Lineage: Eukaryota; Metazoa; Chordata; Mammalia; Artiodactyla; Cervidae
Exons: 3
Source: RefSeq, a predicted model, not a curated record